CUACAAAGGAAUUGACGGGACCCGCACAAGCGGUGGAUGAUGUGGAUUAAUUCGAUGCAACGCGAAAACCUUACCUACCUUUGACAUGUACGGAAUUCGCCAGAGAUGGCUUAGUGCUCGAAAGAGAACCGUAACACAGGUGCUGCAUGGCUGUCGUCAGCUCGUGUCGUGAGAUGUUGGGUUAAGUCCCGCAACGAGCGCAACCCUUGUCAUUAGUUGCUACAUUUAGUUGGGCACUCUAAUGAGACUGCCGGUGACAAACCGGAGGAAGGUGGGGAUGACGUCAAGUCCUCAUGGCCCUUAUAGGUAGGGCUACACACGUCAUACAAUGGAUGGUACAAAGGGUCGCCAACCCGCGAGGGGGAGCCAAUCCCAUAAAACCAUUCGUAGUCCGGAUCGCAGUCUGCAACUCGACUGCGUGAAGUCGGAAUCGCUAGUAAUCGUGGAUCAGAAUGUCACGGUGAAUACGUUCCCGGGUCUU
Molecule: ribosomal RNA, 481 nt
Filed under: uncultured Polaromonas sp.
Lineage: Bacteria; Pseudomonadati; Pseudomonadota; Betaproteobacteria; Burkholderiales; Comamonadaceae
Description: bacterial SSU rRNA
Rfam family: Bacterial small subunit ribosomal RNA
Source: RNAcentral